This 387-nucleotide unclassified non-coding RNA is filed under the name uncultured Planctomycetia bacterium. Its description in RNAcentral is "contains 16S-23S intergenic spacer region". Lineage: Bacteria; Pseudomonadati; Planctomycetota; Planctomycetia. The record is from RNAcentral.
UCCGGCUUGACACCGGCAGUCUCCCUAGAGUUCCCGGCAUGACCCGCUGGUAACUAAGGACAAGGGUUUCGCUCGUUAAGGGACUUAACCCGACAUCUCACAACACGAGCUGACGACAGCCAUGCAGCACCUGUGCACGUUCCAGUAUUGCUACCGUUACUCUACUUUCAUAGAGCUAAUCCGUGCAUGUCAAAUCUAGGAUAAGGUUCUUCGCGUAGCCUCGAAUUAAGCCACAUGCUCCACCGCUGGUGUGAGCCCCCGUCAAUUCCUUUGAGUUUCAGCCUUGCGACCAUACUCCCCAGGCGGGGUACUAAACACUUUCGCUUCGGCAGGAGGCGACAUCGGAUCGCUUCCUACCCAGUACCCAUCGUUUACGGCCAGGACUAC